This 253-nucleotide ribosomal RNA is filed under the name uncultured bacterium. RNAcentral describes it as "partial 16S ribosomal RNA". It matches the Rfam family "Bacterial small subunit ribosomal RNA", at positions 524 to 776 of the family's 1533-position model. The record is from RNAcentral.
UACAGAGGUCCCGAGCGUUGUUCGGAUUCAUUGGGCGUAAAGGGUGCGUAGGUGGCGCUGUAAGUGGGGUGUGAAAUCCCGGGGCUUAACCCCGGGACUGCAUUCCAUACUGCGGUGCUUGAGGACUGGAGAGGAGACUGGAAUUUACGGUGUAGCAGUGAAAUGCGUAGAGAUCGUAAGGAAGACCAGUGGCGAAGGCGGGUCUCUGGGCCGAUACUGACGCUGAGGAGCGAAAGCGUGGGGAGCGAACAGG